Molecule: ribosomal RNA, 505 nt
Filed under: uncultured bacterium
Lineage: Bacteria
Description: partial 16S ribosomal RNA
Rfam family: Bacterial small subunit ribosomal RNA
Source: RNAcentral
AUUGAACGCUGGCGGCACGCCUAACACAUGCAAGUCGGGCGGUAGCAUGGUUAGUAGCAAUACUAACUGAUGACGAGCGGCGGACGGGUGAGGAACACGUAGGAACCUGCCCAAGAGCGGGGGAUAACUAAGGAAAACUUUAGCUAAUACCGCAUAAUUCUCUGAGGAGAAAAGUUGCCCGUAAGGGUAGCGCUUUUGGAGGGGCCUGCGUCCGAUUAGUUAGUUGGUGAGGUAAUGGCUCACCAAGACUGUGAUCGGUAACUGGUCUGAGAGGACGACCAGUCACACUGGGACUGAGACACGGCCCAGACUCCUACGGGAGGCAGCAGUGGGGAAUCUUGGACAAUGGGGGCAACCCUGAUCCAGCGAUGCCGCGUGGGUGAAGAAGGCCUUCGGGUUGUAAAGCCCUUUAGGCUGGGAAGAAGUUUAUGGGAUGAAUAAUCCUGUAAAUUGACGGUACCAGCAGAAUAAGCACCGGCAAACUCUGUGCCAGCCGCCGCGGUAA